Molecule: long non-coding RNA, 41312 nt
Filed under: Setaria viridis
Lineage: Eukaryota; Viridiplantae; Streptophyta; Magnoliopsida; Poales; Poaceae
Description: long non-coding RNA (SVIR_LNC008718)
Source: RNAcentral
CAUCAUAUAGUGUCCUGUUCUUCCUUCUGGAGAUAUGAUACAAAUUUGGCGCAAUGUCCCUUGGCCUUUGUCCACUUACCCAGCCACUGUCCCAGAAGGAAGUCUUGUUGCCAUCUCCCACUGUAAUCUUGGUUGCCGCCGCAAAGAGUUUGCGGUCCGUUUGGGAGCAAGGGAUGUCCUGGCUUUCCCAGGAAGGUCCAUCAUUCAUCCAAUCCUGCCAGAGCCACCGUAACCGCAAGGCCCUGGAGAAUUUCUGAGGUGUAACACACCUAGCCCUCCUCCCCUCCUAGGCCUUGCAGAUCGUGUCCAAUUCACUUUGCAUUUCCCUCCUGUGAGUGGCUCCGUCCCCGCCCAUAGGAAUUUCCUUCGCUUAGCAUCGAUAAUCUUCAGUAUCUCUUUGGGCACUUUGAGGACCGACAGUAAGUAAACCGGCUGAGCAGUUAGUACUGAUUUGACCAAAGUGAGUCUGCCAGCUGUCGUCAUGUUUCUGCCACUCCAACUAUAAUGCUUCUAAUAUGCUAGUUGAAUUGGGGAAUAGGGAUCACUACCGGAAACAGUAAAUUCGCCGAGUGUAAAACGUGUGCCGAGUGCAUUUUUUCGGGCACUCGGCAAACACAGUCUUUGCCGAGUGUAUGUAAUGAGGCACUCGGCGAACAUAAUACACUCGGCAAAUAGGAGGUUUGCCGAGUGCCAAAAAACAUGCACUCGGCAAACAACUACUGGACACUCGGCAAAUAAGCCACACUUGGUAAAUCAACAGCGCGUUUGUCGCACGUGCGUCGUCCGUUACCGGGUUGGGCCGGUCGUUAGACCUUUGCCAAGUGCUUGCCGUUCGACACUCGGCAAAGAGGCGUUCGCCGAGUGCCACUGGCACACACUCGGCACACUGAAAACUUCGCCGAGUGCCUUGCCCGGACACUCGGCAAACUCAACACUUUGCCGAGUGCCGUCCCAAAGGCACUCGGCAAACCCAACACUUCGCCGAGUGUUUUUGUCGGCACUCGGCAACAAAAACAAAAAUUUCCCUCCAACAGCUUCCACACUUUUUCUACUCCCCACGUAGGACAUUUGGUUAUGCAUAUUAAAAGUUGGUCUAUUUUCGGGUCUGUUUGGGAUUUUUAAUGCUUUGUUUGCAUUAAUAGGGAUUUUUUGAUUGAAGUCAAAUUUUAACUACAAGUACUUGAAAUAAUGGAUUGAAAUCAGUGAAAAAAUCAUAUUCAUAUUAUAGAGACCGGAUUGAGGUCUCAACCAGAAAAUGAAAAGAAAUUUUGAACAUUGUUUUUAAAAAACACGACCACGAACCUGUGGUUCAAUGGUUAUUAAAUUGUAAAAAAACCAAACGAAAUCUGAAAAUCACAAGAUUUGUCAAGAUGUCAUGAUAUUAUGUGUGGAGGCUGUGGUAAAAAAUUGAGAACGUUUCGCUCAAUUUCUAACAUAUGAUGCUUAGAAACCGACUAAUCUCCUGGAAGGAUUCAUAGAAGUUAGAAAGGAGCCACUAAGAUUUGGUGUCCAAGUGACACUUGAAUUAAGGAGUGGCUUCAAAUCUUUUUGUAUAGGCAACAUACAACACAAAUUGGUUCAUGUCAAAAUUUGGAAAUUUUUCGGAUGCGUUUGAUAUUUUUUAUUGAUUAAAUGCAAUUAUAGAUUUUUAUUAGAUAUAAAUGGAAUUUGAGCUAUAACUGCAUGAAAUUAUGGAAUAAUAUCAGUAGAAAACUAAUUUAACAAUUUUUGAGUGAUUUUGACACGAUUUUGAAAAAUUAUAUUAGAAAAAGGUCACUAAAAUACGUUAUUUCAUGUAACGUUUGCCGAGUGUCUGUAGGAAACACUCGGCAAAAAUGAUAGUUUGCCGAGUGUUUUCUCGAUGCACUCGGCAAACUAGUUGCACGGGCCCACUACCUUCGGCCUCGCUUCAAAUAAAAAAUUCCAACUUAACUUUGCCGAGUGUCGUAGAUCUGAGCACUCGGCAAACAGUAAGGCUUUGCCGAGUGCCCCCGAUCUGGCACUCGGCAAAGUACAUGCCCGGCGCGGUUUCGGGAGGGUGCAGUUAAUAUUUCCCUUUGCCGAGUGCCAGAUCGCGGGCACUCGGCAAAGAUUCGAAGAUAUGUCCAGCACUUAGCGUUUCGUCGAAUCAUUUCCGCGCCGCCUGUUGCCCCGCCCGCCGGCCCCCCGCCCGCCGCACCUCCGCGCCCGCUCGUGCCCCGCCCCGCCGGCCGCCACCGCCCCGCCGGUGGCCACCGCCCCGCCCGCCGUCCGCCACGUCCCCGCCCGCGCCCCCGGCCCGCCCGUCUCAUCCGGCGCGUGCGCCCCCUACCCGGCGCGAAGCUCGACCGGCCGCCCCGGCCGCCCGUCUCCCCCGGCGCGUGCGCCCCUUACCCGGCGCCCCGCCCGACCGGCCGCCGACGCCCCGGCCCCGGCGCCCCCGCCACCAGCGCGCUCGGCCCCGGCGCCCUCUGCCCGGAGGCCCGCCCCGGCCCCGGCGCCCCUUGCCCGGCGGCCCCGGCCCACCGGCCGGCCCCAGCGCCCCUUGCCCGGCGGCCUCGGCCCACCGGCCGCCCCUGGUGCCCCUUGCUUGGGCCCGGCGCCCCUUGCCCGGCGGCCCCAGCCCACCGGCCGCCCCCGGCGCCCCCUGCCCGGCGGCCCCGGCCCACCGGCUGCCCCCGUUCCGGCCCCGGCGCCCCCUGCCCCUGCGCCCCGGCAUCCCUCACCCUCCCGGUAAUGAAUUUUUCUUUUUGAAGUUAGGAAAUCAGAAUUAGAAAGUAGGUUAAAAUUAGAAAUUAGAAAUUAGAAAUUGUAGGGCUUUAGUUGUUGAAAUUAGAAAAUUGUAGGGCUUUAGUUGUUGAAAUUAGAAAAUGAUGUUUGGCUUGGGAAUUUAAGCUAUAAGAAUGUUUGUGGAAGUCAGCCAUCGUGCCAUUCCUUCUUCUGUACAUGUGGUUGUCGGCCAUCGUGCCGUUUCAUUUGAUGCAGGUUAUGGAAACCUCCACGUGCAGGGGAGGUGCUGCCGAAAAUUUUAGUUGACAGUUGUAUGUUUUUUUUUGCAGGAGAGGCUACGUUACCGUCCUCGAGUCGUCACUUUGUACGAUAGCAAGGUGAGUCAUCCUGUUUCUUUAAUUUUUCAUUCAUUUUGUACUUAACUUUUGCUUGACAAUAAGUGGUUGGGAUGAAAUAUUGUAGGCCCAGGUGGAGGUAGAACGGAAGCGCCGGGAGGAACUAGAGGUGAGGAUCGAGGCGGAUCGGCAGCUUGAAAGGCAGAGGACGGAGCAGAUGUUCCAAUACAUGCAGAGUGUUUUCCACAGUUUAGGUCAAACUCCACCACCUAUGCCACCGAACCUCUUCCCGCCACUUCCACCACCUCCUGCAGCUACUCCUGUGAGUCAAUCUCAACCUUACAAUCAAUCUAGACUUAAACUAGAAACUACAGGCACUACAAACUUACACUAGAAUUACUUGUUUAGACUAUGAAAUCUCUUUAACUAAAUUUGUGCAGAAUCAAUCGGCGGCGUCCAAUGCAGAAUCUUCCUGGGGGCAGUGGCCACCUGCACGUCCUCCUCAUCCUCCUCAGUGACUUGUCAUUUCUGUGUUUGUGAUGCAAAACUUGUGAAUUACUUCUUUAGACGAGAACUUAUGAAUGCUAUUUGUGUGCUUGUGAAUCCUGUGGUGCAAUUUAUAUGCUUGUGGUGCAAUUAAUAUGCCUGUGCUUCUGUGGUUGUUUUUUGAGAGGGGUCCUUUAUACCUAACAUUUCUGUUUUGUAGUGGGUGUUAGGACACUCGGCAAAGAGGCCAUUUCUGGUACUGGCAGACGGCUUUGCCGAGUGUAUUCGCCAAACACUCGGCAAAUGGGUCAUAAAAUUUGUCGGGGCGGCCUCUUUGCCGAGUGCCAAAGGGCGGGCACUCGGCAAACAAUAUCAUUUGCCGAGUGUUUCACAAAACAGCACUCGGUGAACGAGUCAUAAAAAUGGCGGGCCGGGUCUCUUCGCCGAGUGCCUUCCCGUGGCACUCGGCGAAAUUAUCAUUUUGCCGAGUGCCUGGCAAAAAAUGCACUCGGCAAACGGCCGAAUAAAAAAGGCAGGUGGGGAUUCUUCGCCGAGUGCCACGCGGCAGGCACUCGGCGAUCCAUGAAUUUUCGCCAAGUGUUCUCCAGAAUACACUCGGCACACUGAUAAAUCUUCGCCGAGUGUCCUUAAGAAUACACUCGGCACACUAUACGAAUUCGCCGAGUGUCGGCCGUCAGACACUCGGCAAAUCCACCGUUGCCGUGACAGACCAUUAACGUCUUUGUGCCGAGUGUUUGAUUUUGCCGAGUGUAUUUUGGCACUCGGCAAACGGUUUGCCGAGUGCCCGACGGUCGACACUCGGCGAACAUCCUGUUCGCCGAGGAAAACUUUGCCGAGUAGACUUCGCCGAGUGUUACACUCGGCAAACCCUUUGCCGAGUGUAAUUGGGCCUUCGCCGAGUGCCUGGGGCACUCGGCAAACUAACUGUUUCCGGUAGUGGAUAUACUUGAUCGAUGCUCUAAUCUCUCUAUUCUUAACAUAACAGUUACUUUCCCGUGAAAAGAAAAAUAAAUUUAUAUUGGGCAUCAAUUUUUAAGAAUCGUUGGUGGGAGGCUUUUUUUCUCCUUCAAUAGUUUUUAUCAAUGUUCCAAAAUUAUUUUUUUAAAAAGUAAAGUUCAGGUACAACGGCUUUGAGGAGUACAUGGAACAGCUUUGAGAUGGCAUUGAGAAAAGAUGGCAAGGUGCCCAUCGGAGAGCCGCGGCCGCCUGCAUCGCACGACACGCCAGUCAACGCGAUUCCGUAGUAAGCAUGAACUCGAUUCCGUUUCGGGGAUUGCUCACUCUGUAAUCGAAAAUUCGAAACUGAUUCGGCAGUCCGAACCUCCGAGCUACUCCAGAAGCGGAGAAACCCGCCCGUCCAUAUAUAUCACAGCGCCGCGCCGGGAAAGCCCUCGCUCACGGCAGCGACACGAAUCAGAGUAUUUCGAUCACGCGGCGGAGCUCUGACGACUGACCCGAACGAGAAACCAAGAAAAGAAAGGGAAGGCCGCCAGAGGGGGAGAAGGAGAAGAGGAUGGAGGCGUCGCGGUUCGGCUUCGACCUGCCGCCGGCGUACAAGUUCGACCCGACCGACGCCGACAUCGUGGCUCACUACCUCCUCCCGCGCGCCAUCGGGUUCCCGAACCCCUACGCGCACGCCAUCAUCGACGACGACCCCUACAGCUGCCCGCCCUGGGAGUUCAUGCGCCGCCACGGGCACGCGGGCAGCGACCACGCCUUCUUCUUCGGGCCCCAGCGGGAGCCGGACCCCAGGAAGAAGGCCGCCCGCACCGUCGCCCCCGGGGAGGACGGCGUCGGCGGCACCUGGGACGGGCAGAGGAGCGACGCCACCCGCCUCGUCCUCCUCCGCGCCGGCGCCGGGGCCGAAGGCCCAAGGCUCGAGGUCACGUACAAGCGCCACAACCUGUCCUACUACCACGGCCCGCAGAAGAAGAAGACCAGCGGGUGGGUCAUGCACGAGUACCAGAUCAUCGACCCGCCCCACCUCGCCGGCACCAUCCUCUCGCGCGUCAAGAUCACCGGCAAGGAGAAGAAGAAUGAGGGCAAGCAGCAGAAGCAGGCCGACGCCGGCCAGCAGGUGGUCCCCCCGGGCCCGGACCAAGCGGGCCCGAGCAACUACUACCAUCAGCCGGUCGGCGGCGGUGAGGAGUACGGCGGUGCCAUGGGGGACAACACUGGUGUUUGCUAUGUUGGCGACGGGAACGACUACUACAUGUACGAGGGCGACGGCAGUGGCGGCGGCGACUGUUUCCCUGCCGGAGACGGCGGCAGCUAUGCCGACGACGGUAACAACUACUCCAACCAGGACUCCGGCUACUGUGGGUAUCCCGACGGUGGCGGUGGCUUUUUCCACGUCGGAGACAACAAUAGCUAUGAGUAUCCCGACGGAGGUCGAGAAGAAGGACAGUGUACUGUAUAGGAGAACCAUCCACGGGCUCUGCGUAUCUAUUUGGCCUAUGUUUGUCAGCAAUUUGAUUUUUUUAUUCAUUUCGAAUUAUGAAGCAUUCAAAUUGGUUUAUUUGAAUUAUUGAGAUUAGUUGUUGAUUUAGAUAUAAUUAUAUAUUGUCUUAUUCUUUCUGGCUUAUUAAGCAUCCAAGGAUUUUUUUUAUAUUAGAUUAAAACAACUGAUUUUACGUCACGCAUAAAUAAGCCCCUUUUUAUGUUCUUUUUGGAGGAAGCAAAUUUUCUGAAUUCCCAAUUCCAGCGCCACCAUUAUAUACAGUUUGGAAUACCUCUUUGACAAGGUGACUUUAUAUUCAGAUAAUGAAAAUCGAUACAAAGAAUGAGCCUAUGCUGACAAAAAAAAUUAAAAAAAGAAUUAUGUUAUCAUAGAACAAAGAAAAUAAUGAAAUUAUGUACAAUAAGUUGUAGAGUACCUUAUUUACAUAUGCACAUUCACUGCUGAAUCUCUUUUAUUUUGGGGGAAGGGAUUCGUACCAACAACCAUAAUAUUUGGUAUCUCUAUAUUCUCUUCCUACACUCGAACCGAUAUUUUACCCUCACUUACUGUGUAAUAUGGUGUGGCGUGGAAAACGCCUAGUUCCUUGCUGCGAACAUGCUAUAUAUCCUGGAUCAUGCUUCAGCUUGCUGGCACAUGCAGUCAGGCAUUGGAAGGUUGUAUGUGGAUUCCUGCGAUUUCCUUAAUCUGAAACCUUUUGUCUCACUAUGGCGACGCAUGUCCUGCAUGUGGUGCUUGAAUUGAUCCCAUCUACAAGACAUACAGAAUAAAAUUUUGAUUUACUCCUUAAUCAGCUGAUAAUUAUGAAAAAGAUAGCAUCAAAUCCUCUGCAUCUUCUGGCCAUUCCAGGUGUUUGAAAGUCAAUGAGAAUAACCAGUAAAAUAAGAUUUAAAUGUAUGUUAGCAUAGCAUAUAGCAUAUGAAACAAUUGCUAUAAUGUACUUAGAAUGAACCUUGCUUAUUGGAAGCAAUCAACUUUGAUGAAAGGUUUAUGGAACAAGGUCACCUUGGGUGCAUACAUGUGAACAAAUUCAGGCCACAUACUUUAUGGAUUGAAAGAAGUUAUACUAGGACAACCAAAACAUACCUGAUAUUUGGAUUGUCAAAGAGUUGAACUAGUUUCCUUUUAUCUGGUUUUAUUGUCUUCGCAUGUCCUCCAUACAUAUAACGUCUGUGCCCCAUCAGAAAGUGGGGAAAAUUGCUUCCUUGUGUCAUCACAAACACCUCACUGUGAAGACAGAUAGUGUAAUCCAAUGCUGCCAGUCUUGAUGAAUGUCCCUACAUAUUGUGAGUAGGAAAAAUGUAUCCUUCAAUACCUUGCUUCCAACAUUCUUAAUGCAAAUCAAUGAGAUAACUGAAGGACACGGAUUUUAUAGAAAUGCAAUAACCAAAGAAAGAGUUACCUUGAACAGGGCAAGCUCCUUUGAUGUAGCCAGAGUUUGUUUUGUUUGCAAUAAUGGAAACAAUUGGCGAAGAGGAGACAUAUAUUUUUCAGCGUUGUAUAUUUUACCAGAUGCAACAUAAAGGGAAGUAGUAUUGUCGAAUCCCAUUCCUCGCAGCAUCAUUCCAACCUGUAUACGCUGAAUAAGUAAGAAAAUAGCAAUCUAACAACAUCUAAUAAAACAAAGAAAAUCAUUCCUCUUAAAGUUUCAUCAGCGGUAAAACAAAAAUCUUGUACAUUAGGUGUGACUGAUUAAGAUAUUCUAGAAAUGAUCUCUCAAUAUGACCUAGCACUCUGUCUGUGAUGCAACUGUCCAUCUGUAGACAGCCUUGGCAUGGGCUCUAAAAAUGACUAAGAAGUAAGUAAUUCAGAAGCACAAAAAUUGGAAGGAACAAACAUCGCAACCUCUAAAGGUGUCAAAGGGCAUCUUCCAUUUCUUCGAUUAGCCUCAGGAUUUAUCACUCGACCAGGUCGGUGAAACUUCCCUCUCCAGCUCCUUUCACGAGCAUUUUCCAUUGCGUUGCUCUCCUUUGAAUCACCAUCAUAUAUGCAGCAUGAGAAAGCUACCAUGUCCUAAAGGUAGAGCACACAAUCAUCAUAACUUAGAGAGAAAAGUAGUAAUACAAGACCACACAAGAUAAACUUUAGUAAAACCUCUUCAAAGCGAAGAUGCACUGAGACAUACUUCCCACCAGUUAAAGAACUCCUCUUGAUCAUUCGGCCAACCAUAUUCUCUGCAAGAAUUCUUAUUGAUUCAGAAAAUCUCAAUGCUUCAUAGUUUGCCAAGCAUCUCAAUGCCUGGACAUCUGAAGGAAUCGAAUGGGCCAAUCUAUUUGAGAAAGGGGCAAUACGCACAGCCCUGUGCCAAGGAACAAGAACUAAGUGAAGACAGGGUAUAAGGUAUCCCAAAAUUCCAAGCAUCUGACACUACUUCCAGGCAAGAAGCGAGAAAGGAGCACACACCCUAGCUCCAACAUUUUUGGAAGCACCUGUUGUAGGUAGUAACUUGGGGGUGAGAAAGCUUUGGUUCUCAUAUUUGGUACAGUGCUGAUGUUAUGAUCAAAUCGCAGAGAAACUUCUUCAGGAAGUUCUUUGACAACCCUUACAUGUUUCCUGAGAGACUCGAUGAAGUGAUCUUCGUCAAAGAUAUCGCUAAAUUUGCUGAAAGCAUGAAAACACAUCCUCAUGAAACUCUCAGAAGAAUACUGUCAUAUACCAAAUGGUAAUAUCAAAAUAAUAACUUUUUAUAGAAUAAAGUUUUAAGUGCUACAGUUUUAGUUCUAAAUGGGAUGGAGCAUGUAAAUUCAAAAUAUUUAUAUGAUUAAGUCAAAACUGUAUAUGAUAAAAGUUAAAGGCUGACAUGAUACAUGGGAGCUGAUAGGAAGUUGCAGGCUUGCAGCAACAAGAGGAAAGCUUAUGUGCACACAAUGAAGGAUAGGAAAGAAACAUACAAAGUUUCUCCUUUUUUGCAGAAUAAAUAGAUCUUAUCCGUUUUACUUAUUGGCACUAGCCCCCUUACAAAUUGUUGACCAAAGAAAGACUUGUAAAAGGAGACUAUUUGCAAAAAAAUAUAUCCCAACUUAGGGCCUAUUUGUUUGAGAUGCAGCUUUUCAACUUUUUUGAAAAGCUGCUGCUGGCUUUUUGGUUCUGAAAAGCCAACACUAGUUUUUAGAAAAUGUGUUUAGCUUUCUGAGCUCAAAAGGCUGCAAAAAACUCGGAAAACUAAGCUUUUCAGCUUCCCGUAUAAACUCAACUUUUCCGAGCUUCUAGCUUUUCGGAAGCUGCACUGGGAAGUUUGCUGUUUAUUUGAGCUUCUAGCUUUUCAUGCUGAGAAGCUGCUAGAAAGCUCAAACAAACAGGGUUAGUCUUGAAAAGGACUAUUUUACAAAGCUAGUUUCCAAGAAAAGAUAAGAAGGGGAGGCAUAUACCAUACACAUAUCUGUAUAUUCUGUAGUAAGUAAAUUGUUACCUAGAAUCACGCCAAACACUAUUCAAAUGAAAUGCUGGUGUCACAAGAGUUGCAUUGAGAAUUCUGGCCACAACAAUAGCAUCGCAAAUCUGUAUUAAGAAAUCUGUAUCAGAUAACCACAAAAAAUGCUGAAAUGGGGAAACCUAAGUUGAACUUGAGGUACUAUAUAAUAAAAUAAAACAAAGAAUUCCAAGGAUGAAGAUUUAUAGCAUGUAAAUCUCCAUUUGUUAUUGAGUCUUCUAGAGAAGAUAAGGUACAGACAUGCACAAAAUACCUACUACGUGUUUAUGAAAGAACUGAGGUUCACCACAUGUACAUGGGGAACUGCCAAUUAAUGAUGCAGCCCAAAGAAACAAAUCUUGGCAAACAGUUGACACCUUGCUCAUCACAAAGAACCAGUAAUAACCAGAAAAUUCUCUGCUGAGAUUGGAUCCCACUGGAAAAGGCAGACAGUAGGGAAAAUGCAGGUCGUUUCUGAGUUUUCCAGUAACUGCUAAUUUUUGGGAAAAAUUCUUUUAGCCUGAUAAAGAAGCUAAUGUGUCACCACGAAAAUGCAUGAUAAUUUUGAGGAUGGACCGUUAAAAAAAGAAACAUUUCACACCAAUAAUUUUAACAGUGUAAGGAAAUGAUCGUACAACUUACUGAAAUGCGUUGUUGAUUUAGGCCACCAUUUGCUUCAACUAUAAGGAAUCCAUUUGAAGAUGGUAACUCUGAAAAGUGGAUUGUGUGCCAUCAAUGUCAGCUACCAAGUUAUGUUGUAUUUCCCGGAUUAUAUUGUCAUAGAGGCAAACAAAGAAUAAGAAUUAGCUUUUAACUUGCAUGUUUGGUAUCCAAACUAUACUCUAAAGGUUCUGUUACCUGACUGUGCCAACUUCUUGCUGAUACAAGGUUUCCAUCGUUUUCCAAUCUUUUUGUAAUGAGAUGUCAGUAACUGUGAAAUGCAAGGACAAGAGGAAAUUAUCACAUACAUGUGAGAAAUUGGUUCUAAAUUCGUAGCAUCAGAAGAAAAGGUUGGUAGUAAUAAUUAUGAUCGAAGGCUUAACUCCAAAGGUUACUGACGUUAUUAGUAUGGUAGUAAUGAUCAAGACAAGAUGAUCAGCAAUGUCAUGUUCAACUGAGUCAAAAUCACAAAGAAUUUCUUUGGGCCUUGUAAAAGUUAAUAAAUUCAAAUUAACCAUUGCAUCAUUGGUAUAAAACAUCAACCACCAGGCUGCUACUACAAAUACUAGCAUAUGCAUGACUAUACAGUACAUGCAUCACAUAGUCCCUUCUCAAUCAAACGACGAGCAUCGGAUCGAUCUUAGUGCCAAAAUUUGUUCAAUGCAUGCAAAACAUCAAUUCACGUCUUUUUUAAGCAAAAAAGGAAAUGGUUGAAAUUUUUGAAAAGACAAGUGAAGAACACAGAUUAUGACUAAUCCUUCUUUUAAUACUAUACCAGCAAUAAACCUAGUCUAUACGAACAAAUUGAGCGCCCAAAGUGCAAAUUUGCAAUCCCUAUAUAUGGACACAUCGAACCAAGCAAGGAAGCAAAAUUUCCCCUUUCCAAGACGAAACCAGGAACUUUGGCGGGCAAGAACUCAAUUCCGCUCCAGAAAAAUCGAAUGCCAAGAUCAUAACUUUCCCACCGGACGAUGCAAUAAAAGCUCGGAUUUGGACAAUCACCGGAUUAGGGCGCGAGGUGAAGGCGCGCAUUUCCGGGAGGAGCCGCUCGAACACGAGGUGGCUGCGGUGCACUGACCCGGGUGGCGGCGGCGGCGAUCCCCGCCGCAGCGCGGCCUCCACCACGCCGCCGGCUCCCAGCCCCUCGCCGCCGCACAUGGCGAGCAUGAGCAUUGCGGCCGCGUACGCCAGCGCGAGGAGCAGCAGGGCGGCCCGCCGGCGGCGCCCGGCCAGCACGCGGACCAGCCGCCGCGCAGCAGGCUUGGCGCCGGGCGAAUCGUUGCCACGCAUGGACGCCGCCGCGGCCGCCACUGGCAUCUCCUGGAGCGCUCCCGCGGGACCAUGCGAAGCGAAGCUGGUGGAGGAGGUGGUGGUUGUGGUUGAAGCGGGAGAGGAGAAGCGUGCGCAGAAAUGGCAAAUACGAGAGGGAGAAAAUAGGUUCUUGUCGCGGUGUUUGGCACCGAGAGGGGACUGCAAAUGUUCUUCUCGCAAUCAGAUUUGCAGACGAACAGAAUCAUGUUAAUAGCCAUUAGAUACUCAGAUGAUCUCAAAGUUGGGAAUUGGGAUGCCAUGCAACUAUGCAAGUUGAUACCAAAUGAACAGCUCUGAAUCAUCACCUUAGUUCGUUUUCUUUUUCAUUUUCUAUGGCUCGAAAUCCGGAUUAUUAAUUUAAAUGAAUGAGUUUUGAUUCGACCAAUGACUUCAAAAAUGGAGAAAAUCAAAACUUCAGACCUUCACAGUGACGUUGGGAUACGUCAUUAUAAACAUACCUGUUGUGGCGAGCCAUCAAAGAAUAAGAAGAUGAUCAGGAUGUGAUAAGUUAGGAUACAAGACAUGAGCCAUCAGCGCGUUGUAGCUAGAGAGUUAUUUGAAAGGACGGUAGUGCGAGAGAACAUAAUAUUGUUGGCUAGAUCAUGUUGAUUAUUUUGGAAAAAAUAGAUAAAUUCUAAAUAGACACUCUUAUCUCUUCCAUUAAGUAGUGGCGUUACAAUGGCUUUUCACCGCGCGUGCACUUUGUCUGCUCUUAGCACAUCACGCGUGUUUUUUAAUCCAAAAAAUAAUUACUUUUCUAGAUAAUGGAAAGAGUUCUGGCUUCAUCACUUUAACAAAGGGAAAUCAGUCAACAUAUUAUUACACGUAGUAGAUCAAAUAAUAACUAUGUGCGACCUUCUACCCACUAUAUCUAUGGCACAAUUGAUUUCCAUCACCUUCCACCACUUCCUCACUGAUUGUAUAUCUCUAUAGUUGGAACUUUGCUUUGACGAUAUGGUUUUCCAUGCCGCACCGUAUCUGAUAUAUUUCCACUGAAACUGAUUCUACAUUUCCAUUUGGUUAUACCAUUGAAUAUGCCCAAUAUAUUUUCCUAAAUAUUUUGAUUUAUGCAUACUAGGGAAGCAAAAAAGUCUUUAUGUCUUUAUAUAUAUAUAUAUAUAUAUAUAUAUAUAUAUAUAUAUAUAUAUAUAUAUUAGAUGUAACUUCUUGUUUUGAUUUACAUUGUAACAUAAAGAAGGAAGAGUGACAAGGUGGGGCUAGGGGUUUAAUGAUGAUGCGGAACCUUCUUUUCGGUGGGAGGCACUCAAGAGGUAACAAAAAUGUUGCUUGGUUCCUUUUUAUUUCUAGUAGAAAAAACUAACCACGUUUGUUCUGGUUGCUCAAAUAGGUAUAUAAACAACCUUUUAGCAAAUUUAGCCUACACCGAGAGAACACUCAACUAUUUUCUCUUAUGAUCUCUGUGGUUAUUGAGUUGCUGCAUGCCUCUACAAGAAACAUCUUGUGCUAUAUAUAAGAGAAAAGUGAUCUCACAUAUCACUCAACGAGAUCUACAACUUUGUAGUUGAUAACGUUUCCAUUCGAAGUUGUUUUGAUUUCUAAAUAUUACAUAUAAGAUUCAGAAAAGUCAAUAUAAAAGGAUAUCAUCCCUACUUUGUAGCUGACAACGUUUUCAUUCGAAAUUGUUUUGUGUGGUGUCGUGGUAAGGAAAGCUUCGCGUGAAGCUUGAGGUCACGAGUUCGAACUGGUGAAGCACAAUUACUCAUUUCGCGUGAGAAUUAGUGUGCAUUGCACCCUUGGAUGGCUGAUAGGUGUGGAGGUGUGCUAGGGUGCUGCUCAGGUAAGAAAGAUUUUUUUCUUCCGUUAUCUAUUUUUACAUAUUUGUUUUAAAAAAUUAACCGGCAGUGAUAAUGACUAGCACCGCUGGUUUGAAACACGAGCCGGCUGGCGGUGAUAGUUAUUUUCACUGCCGGUUCAAAACCAGCAUUGAUGUGCUAUAUUAUUACAGUCGGCCUUUCACCAACGAUAACCAAAACCGGCAAUAAUGGAGGUUUUAGGAUCGACAGUGAUAGUCUACUUUAGUGUAUAACAAUGCUAACUUUCAUCUCUGACAUGGUAUAGAAAGCAAAUAACAUAAAAGCUGCAGUGUCAAUGAAAUGCACCCUGAAAUAAAAUGUGCCAUUGAUCCAUUUCCUGCAAUUGUUGCUUUAGAGCCUCAUUCGCACCAUCGAUCACUACUGCCUUUAGUAAUGUAAAAUCCGUAUAUUAUACUAAGAAUAGGUUCUUGCGUGUUACUUUUCCCUACUUUAGAGCCUCAUUCACACCAUCGAUCACUACUGCCUUUAGUAACACAAAAACCGUAUGCUUUGGUAAGAAUGGGUUCUUGCAUGUUUCUUUUCCCUAUUUUAGAUCCUCAUUCACACCAUUGAUCACUACUGCUUUAGUAACGGAAAAACCGUAUGUUAUGCUAACAAUGGGUUCGUGCGUGUUACUUUUCCCUAACUAAUCCCUGUAAAUUCAUCACUACGCUCAUUGUUAUACUUACACUUACCAGACACUACUUCUCAUGUGUGUCUUUCAUUGUGGUGAUGAACAGAGGGGUGUCAAUGCCAAUAAUUCAAAGAGGCAUCGGUUAGAAGGUAUGUGUUACUAUUUCUUACCUUACUAUUUGAGAGGGCAUGCAUGCAGCUUUGGUGCACCGCGAGCCUUCAAGCUGGUUCUGAGUCUCCAAUUUUGCAUGAGUGAUAUAUAACUAAUUGUUCUUUCAUUGGUAGGUGGCGUGCAUAUUGGCUACGAAAUGUAUGUGGUGACUUCGUCAAUCUCAAGGUACGUUGGCCUCGUCUAUACUGUGUUUUGCAAAUAAAAAGGCAAUAAAAGUAAAACAUCAAUGUAUGGUUCAUAUUUUAUCCUUCAUAGUACUUACCCUCUUUAUUUGGUUUUGUGGACCUUGUACCACUUGACACCAUUGCCAGUUAUAAUACUUUAAUGAAAGAAAUGCCACCACCAUACACAAAGGGUAAACAUUUGUAUGAACUGUGGCUGCAUGUAGACGAACAUCAUGGCAUGUAAGCUGAACAAGAUAGGUAAAACAGACAUUGGAGUUGUUCAGACUAAGAAACACCACAUUACUGUACCAAGAAAGGAACUUUUCCUCCUGAAUUCCUCAAAUGAAAGCUUCUUUUUUAGCUGUAAAAAAUGUUUUACUUCAAUUUUAGAACACAACGCAACGAGAAAUAAAGGUAUCCUGUAAAUAGUCAUAUGCGUAUCCAUAAACUCCGGUAAAACAAAGCAUCUUACAAAAACUAUGUUAAUUUAAGCGCUAGGCAGGAUAGAAGUAGAAUGCAAAGCUUAAAGACAUCCGCUGUAUAUUAUUGGAUAUAAACAUAUAAAGCAACUGUUAUUCGCAAAAGAAGCAUAAAUGAACUUGAAAGAUGAAAAAAAAUUGUCAUGCACAUAAUUUAAGAGCCUAAGAAGUAACAACUCUUCAAAAGACAAAGGCCACUUUAUCUGCAUAAAUUAAGGACAAUAAAGAGAGGAACUGAAAGCUGGUAACUGCCACAAGAGAACUAUGUGUGCCUUUUCUCCUUCAAUUAAGCAAAAGAAACAAACAUUCCAAACAAACAGCAUGUAUGAUACCAGACUUGGAUCAAGAUAAAUCCAUGUGAACCUCCUUAAAUUCAGUAAGUAUAUCAACUGCUUUCCUGAAAUCCUGAAAUGUUUCAGCACAUUUUGGGUAACAAACUGAAAAUGCAAGGACUUUAGUGGCAGCUGCAAGCAAAACAAUGCACCAUGCUCAACGAAAGGCAUUGCUUCUUUCUUAAAAGUUAAUAUAUUUUUUAAAGUAAGAAUAAUGGUGUCUACGCUAAUUAGAAACGGAUGGUAUAGUUUCCUUCAUACUUAGUCUUUCUAGCAUCGGUUUCACACAAAUGUGAAACAGUAAGUGAGCUAGAAUCGUACCGAAAAUACUCAUAAGUAAUUAUAUAUUCAUCGACAGAUGGCCAGGAUGGAAGGAGCACGUGUCACAAAGAAAGACACAAUGAGCUGCAAAAUGAAAGUAACAAUCAAGAAGGUCAGCGCUUACUGCAUGGUCUAUUCUCUGCAUCAUCAUUUCCCUAGUUUCUCCUAUUAUUAUAUACAUGAUAUGUCAUCUACAAUAUACUCCCUCUGUUCCAAAUUGUAGGUCGUUUUGGCUCUUUUAGGUUCAUAGAUAUUAUUAUGCAUCUAGAAAGAGUCAAAACGACCUACAAUUUGGAAUGGAGGGAGUAGCAAGUUAUGCUACAUGCUAUCUCUCAUUAUCAUUAGAUGAACCAUUGCAGCUUCUGCGGAAAGAUAGGCCCAGGAAGAAGAUGAAUAUACCAUAUCCAAUCAUAAAUGCUGCACUCAAAAUUGACAAAGAUUGUGAUAUUGGAUCCUUAAGCUGCAAAGAUCUUCAUAAGGAGCUGCAUAAAGAGAUGGAGAGAUUGAUCAUGAAUACACCUGAAAUCCAUGACCAUUUUAGUUAUGAAGUUCAUGCUAGUACCUGAUUGUCAUGCUAAACUACCUACGUUUUGUGUUUACUAUGUGCAAUGACUUUUGGGGCGGGGUGGGGGGGGGGGGGGGGAGGGGUUGAGUAGACUUUUCUGCAAAAUCAACUCGCAGCAGAAAUUAAACUAUGAUGGAGAUAUUGAUCAUGAAUACACCUGAAAUCCAUGACCAUUUUAGUUAUUAAGUUCAUGCUAGUACCUGAUUCUCAUGUCAAACUAUCUGUCAUGUGUUUACUAUGUGUAAUGGCUUCAUAUGGCCUAGACGGGAGUGAAUAGACUUGUCUGCAAAAUCAACUCGCAUAAGAAAUUAAACUACUCCCUUCAUAUCAAAAUAUUUAUCGUUGUUGAAUUUUCGUUGCAACAUUGAAUGCCAGUUAAUACUUAAUACUCCCUCCGUUCCAAAUUGCAGGCCGCUUUGGGUUUUUUGGUGCAUAGUUUUUUCUAUGCACAUGUAUAUAGUGUAUGUUGUAACAGCUCGAAAAUUCAAAUCUAAAAACAUUCAAACUCAAAAACUUCAAAACCUAUUUUAAAAUCUAAUUUCAAAAUAUUGCAAAACUAUGCCCGAGCUUAAUUCCUUUUCCAUCCAUAAUCCAUCCCAAGAUCCCCUUUAAUCCUUUUGCCUUUCCAAAUCAAUUCAGACAUUUAGCUUUCUCUCUAACCUUCCUAUUCUCCCUAAGCCAUCACCAUCAACAUGCUAAUCCCUUCUUUCAUGUGUGCUCUCCCACACAAACUUUCCUCCUCCCUUCCAUCAUCUCCCAGCUUGAGCACACACACGGCAUGCACCUUAAUCACGUACAAAGCAGCACAAAGCCGCAGAUAGCAGCUGCAUGAACGCCGCGUGCAAGCUUCACACGCCAGGGGCCCGUUGCCAUGCUCGUCCUGCUCUGCUUGAGCGACAGCCUAGCCCCGCGAGGUGACCACACCCUGCUGCCCAGCACCGUGCCAUGCCGCCCCUUGCCGCGUCCCCACCUCAACCAUGCCGCUGCGUUCAAGCUUGCCAGCCCUGUUGCAUCAUCGCGCGUGCCGUCAACGCUGUGUCGCCUCAGCACCACUGUCGUCGCAAGCUGCCACUCACAAGCUGACGCCUGGCCACAGCGCGCCAUUAAGGGCAAGCGGUUGAGCCGCUGGCACAGCUCCGCCCUCGCCGCCUAUAAAAGCCACCCCGAGCUACUCUCCGUCGCCAUCCUGAGCUCACCGAGCCGACUAGCUCCGCCGCUCAUCUCCCUCCUCGCUCCAAUUUCGCUCUCCUCUGUUCUUAUGCAGAGGAAGGUCUCCCUCGUCGAUCUCCGACGACAAGUUUCCACAGGUCGAUUAGUUCAUUGAUGAGCACCUCCACACCCUCCCCCUCCCCUACCCAAGCAACGGCCAUCCCUAUCCUUGCCUACACCGAGCUCCCAAGAACUCUAGAGCCGCAUCCAUGGCCACCUGCGGCGGACCUCCUUCAACCCUCUCACCCCGUCCAAGAACCCUCAGAACCGAAUCCCCAUCCACCUCUCUCUCUACCCAUACCCUUGGAUUCGAAAAGGGUGGCCGGGAGUGCCGUUCUGGUGGAGCUCCUGCCGCUACUCAUGGUGGCGUUGCCAGGGGCCUCGUCGUCCUCCCUAUGCUCUUUUCUCCGAGAGUAGAGUUAUCCAGCUAGUGGGCUUUGGUGCCCAUGUACCGGUCUCGCCAGCCCAAACAAAAAAAAAACAGCCCACAACGACAAUAGACCACAAACCUCCCGUGCUCGAUUAAACCCGUGAAGCCUCCCGUCAGUUAUGUUAAACAAUUUUCGUAAUUAAUUAGUAGCUAAUCUUUACACAGCCAUAUCUCACACAUCAAAACUCCAAUUCACUUGAUUCUUUUUCCUAAAUUCCUCUAAAAUCAUAUUCUAUCUAAUACAGUUAAUCUCCUCUCUGUUUGAGCUCAUUUUAUUUUGUGAUUGUGCUUGUUUGUAUUUUGCGCCAUCGAUGUCGUAGGUCAGUUGUUGAGGUCGGCGCGGAGGUUGCGGCGGUCGCGCAACUCUUCACGAAGAUCACGUUGCUGACCUUGUCUGCCACGAUCCUCGCCAUCACCUCUCCUGCCACGGCGGCGGUUGUCAUGGUUGUCGAGUUGAUGGUCAUUGUUGGCGGGUGGGUUGGCGGGUUGCUCCACCUCCUCUUCACAGACAGGCUCUAGCCGACCUCCCGCGCGGUUGCCGUGGUCUCCUCGAUGGUGACCGGAUCUGCUAUGAGCGGAUGGGCUUCGAGAGUGCCGGGUAGCUGUGGACUAGGAGUAUGCUGAUCGGUUGUGAGCCCGCUCUUCAAUCUGGGCGUUGGCGACGCGGAUAUGUGCCCGGAUCCACCGGAGUGGCUCCUAGUUUGGAAGGAUUCUGAGGUCGGCAAAGGCAGCCCCCAGGUUAGCCUGGGGUGUGGUGAAGACAUUGUGGUCGGCCCCCUCGAGGUCGGCUUGUAGAUUGUGGGCGCGCACAAGGCGCUUGCGUCUGCCCCGGGUAGCGUCCUGGUUGGUGUUGUCACCGUCGUUGGUGCGCGGUGGGUCGGCGUUAGCGGCGGGCGGUGGUUGGCGCCGGUCACUUGCCGCUUCGGCUCCCACAUUAGCAACAAGUUGUUGGCAUUGUUGGGUGUUGGCUUGCUCCCGUUGGUGCCGUACUGCACGGUCCUAGUUCUUGGCGUUGUGACUUGCUUCCUGAGAAGAGAUUUCUCCAUCCUUGGGUGGAUCAUCGGCGGAGACUACAAAGGCUUCGCUAUUUGGUGUGGUGGAGUUACUCUCGACGUCAUCUCCAUAAGGGUUCAAAGUCAGGACGAUGCGGGGGAUCUGAAACUCAUCACAGUCCGAAAAUUGGGUGGGUUCGGGUGAGCCUUCAGAUUGGAUCUAAAGAGACUGCGCGAGUUUCGCAGGAAACAUGACAGCCGAGUUCUUCAGACCAAAGGGGGUGAGGGAAGGACCCUGCCGACCUUGUCGAGCAUAGCGCCGCCUCGGAGAGAUCAAUGCACUGAGAAAUGAUGUUGCUGAUACGAUUUAGCCCCGCGACCAGGUUGGAGAGCGUGGGUGGGUUGGGCGUAGCAAGGAUGUGUGGGAUCCUCUCUGAAAGAGAGAGAUCGCCGACCUGCUGGGCAAGCGGUGUGAUGAUCCUCAGGUGAAGACCUUGCUCCAUCGAAGCAAAUCCGACGGAUGCUGAGCUGGUAGCGGAUGCCGAGUCAUCGAAGAAGGCGGUGGAGUCAGAGUCCAUCGGCAUGCUCCCAAAGCGGAGCUGGAUCGGGUUGGCGAGGAUGUCCUUCAUGCUCUUGGGGAAGAUGAUGCCAGGGUGAGAUGACAUCAAGCUCGCUAGGGAGGAUCUCACAAUCACCCCUACCUGGCGCACCAACUGUCGGAUUUAGUAGCCUGACAGUCCACCAAGGGGUUACCCAAGUGGUUGAUUUGUAGGCAGAGAGGAUUGCAAGACCAAGAACUCAAAGGUGAUCACGAGAACACGAGGGUUUUGAUAGGUUCAGGCUUCCAGAGAGUAAUACCUUACGUCCUGUAUUUUGGUAGUUUGUAUUGCUUGAGAAUUGAGAUGCCUUCGGGAGGCGGCCUUGGCCAUCUUAUAUAGUCUGACGACUAGGGGUUACAAGUUGGUUUGAAUCUAAUCUAGUCGGUUGUUACAUGGAAAGCAAUCUGAGUUGGAUUACAAUACGUAUCCCACAAUAUUAGGGCUGAUUUGAAUCGCCUGGCCUCCUUGACUUGCACUCCAAGUAUCUUCAUGUUUUGGUCCGCACGUUCUUGUUGGGUGGGCCCACUUGUCAGGACCAGCUAGUAUCCUGGCUGGUGGGGACCCAUGGGGUACCUCAUAUCCCUCACUGAUGAAGUGAUCAAGGAGGAGAACCAGUUUGGAGGCUAGUACCACGAGCCGGAGUACGAAGGCUAGGACCACGAGCCGGAGUACGAAGGCUAGGACCACUAGUCGGAGCCAGAAGCCCCGUGCUGCAAGCAGGAGCUGCCCUAAAGGCUUUGAAGACAGCAAGUCCAAUCUAUUCCCUUUUGGUCAUAUUUAUCCUAGUUUUCAAACACAACCCAUAUAAGCCAUUUUAUAAAUAGCAUCCAACUAUAUAUAUUUGCUCAGAUAAUUUUACUACUUGAUCUAGUUAAAACCUGGUUUGAUAGCCACUCCUUGAAUUGAUAUAUCUUGAUUAUAUCUUGAUGACUUAGGAUUUUUUGCUAGACAUGAUAUGCUCUGUUUAGCCAAUUACCUUGAUAUUAAUACGCUUAGAAAAUGGUUACUCAACAUCAUUACUACUUGUUUCACAAAUGCAAUGGUUUUACAAAAGAUAAAAUGUGUUGAGUGUGUUGGUGUGAGUAUGGAUUGGGGAUUUUGGAAAAGUGAUAGUAAACAACUGGUGUUGGUUGGUGAUUAUUUAGAUGGGACGGAUCAAGGUUCCUUGUGUGGGAUGCCUUGGAGUAUUGGCUCGUGCCUGUGUGGCUAAGUAUGGAAGAUAUCUGUCUUGUCUUAAUUAAGGAUUGAGAUCAUGUGUCAUCUUGCCUAACCCAACUUAUCGUACAAUCACCCAACCUUUGUGUGUGGCAAAGGAUUAGCAUAAAUCCCACUAGCUAGUGUGAUAGUCGUCUAUAGGCAGGUGCACAACGAGAGGCCAAGGAGCAUGCGUAAGCAAGUACUGAAUUAGUGGCCCAGUUGAAGACCUCGUAGGAAGGUCAGGAACCCCUUGGGUAGCUCUUGUGCGUGACUAGUCAGGACUAUGUUGUGGUGGGUAAUGGCUGUGAUGGUUCUGCACUGGCACUAUAGUGAUUGUGUCGUUGUACGUCCUUGUGAGUAAAGUGUACACCUUUGCAAAGUUAAAAACCUAUUCGAAUAGCCGUGUCCAUGACCUUGGAUGAGUUACGGCUUGGUCACAUAACUAGUUAUUUGGGAAAGAUGGGCAAACCUUUUGGUGUAAAAUUGGAUUUUGAAAAUAUCCGGCAAGCGUGCCGUGUGCUACCAUGGACGGGGUGUCCAGUAGCACUUAAAAUUUGAUCCUUUGUGUAGGAUCACCUCACUCUUUCAUAAUGACUAUAAAUGUGGUAUAUAUGUGUUUUGCAAAAAAUCACUUUAUAAAAUUACACCUUGCAUGUGUAUAAAAGAUUGCUUUCUGCAAAAUAAACCUUGGCAUAUUCCUUGAAUUACCCUUAUACAUGUAUUCUAUUAUCCCUUUCCGUAGGGUGGGUUUGGAUUUGCUUAGUACGUAUGUACUCACCCUUGCUUUGUUGAUAUAGAGGAAGACCCGGACUACAUUGUUGGUGGAGCUUCCGAGUAGAAGGUCACCUCCGCACCCAACUUGCCUGUGUCGUUGGGCUGUUAAGGAUGCUUCCGUUAUCGUGCAGUGCUGCUUGCUGCUUAUGGACUUGCAUGUCCAUAGGUUGUAUCUACAGCCUAUUUGUGUUGCAUCUCUUUUGGAUCUAUAUUACCCAUCCACUUCUUAGAGAGUUGUACGGCUUUUGAAUUAUCUGUUGAAUAAAUGUGUGUACCAGCCUUCCUGGGAUGAGUAUUUGUAUCACAUUUAGUCCCUAAGCAAAUGGGAGCGCUUCAUAUAUCUAGAUGCAUAAUAAUAUCUAAUAAUCUAGAAAAACUAAAAUGACCUACCCUUUAGAACGGAGGGAGUACAUCAGUUAAUCCAUUCAUGGCGUGUGGCACGCACAUUCCUCUUGGUGACUCUUUUGCUACGACGUAUCCUCUUCUUCAUCAGUUGGUGCGGCGCUCUCGUCUGCAACAGCAGGGCUGCCGCUGCCACCGUCCAUGCUCCCGAUGGGGUAAACCAGUUGGACGUGCACGACGCCGCAAUAAUUCAUGUCGAGAGGGCCCAGAGCUCAGUGGACUCGACCAUGGCUUCCACGACCCACGCUGCCAUGCCGUCGGUCUCAAGCGUCCAGGUGGUGAUGGUGGAGCCACGGAGGCAUGCUCGGAGUCAAAGCUCCGGCAGCCGUCGGAGCUGAGCCGGGGAGAGACGCUGACCAGCUUGACCUCGCUGCGAGCGGUGACGCAGACGUACGACUCACGGAGGCGUCGGGGAUAAUCGGAGAGGACGACCUCCUCCGGGUAUGGCACGAACCGCAGCGUGGGGUUCUCCGCGAGCACGUCGGAGAAGAUGACGCCAUUGGUGAAGUCGAUCUAGCACAGCAGCCUACGGCUGAGGGGUGCGACGGCGUGGGCUUCGAACUCGGACAGCAAGUAGCCCUCGCCGCCGCGGUCACGAUGGCUGAACCAUGGCCACUUGACACGCCACUCGCCAGCACGGAACAGGUGGAGCUCGGCCACCUCGGGCUUUGGCGACGGUGUGUGGGGCCUCACCUCCACCUUCCUGAGCUCCGCCACCACGAGCUCAUCCUCCUUGCCACGGUGCAAGAGGCCAAUGGCGCCUCGGUUGCUGGCGCAGUAAAAGGGUGGGAGCAGACACAACGACGAUGGCCGCCGAGCGUCGUCAUCGGCAACGGCGGCAGCGACGGUGGCGCCCGGGCUGUACACGAAGUAGUCAGCCGGGCGAUCUUUGCAGGAUUCCGGAGAACAACGUAGAUGAGCAGGAAUUUGGACGGGAAACGGAAGCUUCUAGUUUGUUUACCGGCCGAACCAUUUUAGAAAAUCAAAUUGAUUACACAGGGACAUCAUGCUCGCAUGCUAUCUCGGAGGAAGUACAUUGUCUAUUUAUUGGAUCAAGAUGAAAUGUGGGGUAUGACCAUAUGAAUUCUCCAUAUCAGCAUAUGCAAUCUGAUGCUAUAUAUCGCGGAUGAGUAUAUGUGGUCAACUAAAGGCACCCGCAAUGGUGUAGAUAGCAUGCUCUCUGUAAUGUUGUCCAUAUCAGCAUAGAGAGCAUUGUAGACUCAUUCCCCAACACGACAGCUAUAACACGGAGGAUGAGGUUCGCGGAUACCCUCCCCCCCCCCCUCACGCCUUCCCGCGGUUGCCUCCCUGCACCAGCGGCCAGGGCGGCCAGGCCUCCUUCCAGCGCCGGCAGCCUUAUUGGCAUGCCUGCCCCACAGCGUGCUUGAUCUCCCUCUUGCGCCUUCUCCUCUCCUCGUCUGCUCGCCUGCCCGGCCUCCUCCCCACGCUAGUGCCUAGCGGUGGCCGCCCUCCUCUUCCGAUCCACACAUGCCUCGGCGCGCAGCAGCCCAUUCGCCUCUUCCCCGUGUCGGUGGUAGGUUGCAAGCUUCCUUCCCGCCGUGGCAUCCGCCCCUUUAGGUGAGAAAUAGAUACUGGAAAUUCACAUUUUAUAGUAUAGAUUAAAAUUAUGGCGUGAUCAUUGUGAUCAUUAACUUGAAAAAAUUUACAAUGUUGACCAAGUAAAUAGCCCAAUAGUUACAAAUAGAAUGCACCCUCAUAGGUGGCUCCACGUAUGCCUCCACGUUACAGUGUAGCUGUUUUUCAAAGCACAUCUGGAUGGCGUAUUGAUAGGUGGCUCCUGCGUUAUUCAGCCAAAAGGACAUUGUUUUGUAACAGAAAGCUCCAAAAGGGGUGAUGAACGGAGUUUUAGCUUUGUCUUCUUCCUUGAGAGCUAUUUAAUGAUAUCCUGAGUAGUAGUCGAGGAAGCAGAGUAGUGCGCAUCCAGAUGUAGAGUCGACGACUUGAUCAAUCCUUGGGAGCCCAAAGGGGUCCUUUGGAUAGUGCUUGUUGAGGUCUGUGUAGUCGAUGCACAUCCUCCACUCAUUUUUGUUCUUCUUGCGAACCAAGACUGGGUUGGCGAGCCACUCUGGGUGAAAAACUUCCUUGGUGAAGCCUGCAACGAGUAGUUUUGCUAACUCUUUCUUGAUGGCUUCCCUCCUGUCCUGAGCGAAUCUUCGAAGUCGUUGUCAUUUUGGAGUAGCUUUAGGAUCCACAUUUAGUGAAUGCUCGAUCAGCUCCUUGGGCACACCUGGCAUAUCUGCCGGUUUCCAUGCGAAAAUAUCCCGAUUUGCCCGAAGGAAGCUGACAAGCGCGCUUUCCUAUUUAGCAUUCAGCCCUGUGCCAAUCAGGGCUGUCUUGGAGGAGUCAUCGGUCUCAAGGUCGAUGGCUUUGAAGUCCAUGUCACUUGCUGGCUUGAUUUUAGCAACUCCAGACUUGUUCUCUAGGAUCUCGAGUUCUAUCGGGGAGAGUUUCUUUGAAGCGGUGAAGACUUAUUGGAUCGAGCUGGGUACUUGGGUAGUUGCAGCUAAUUCAACAGCUUCUGUGUCGCAUUCGUAGGAUCUUCGAAGGUCUCCGCUGAGGGAGAGUACUCCUUUGGGUCCUGGCAUCUUCAGUAAGAGAUAAACAUAAUGUGGGAUAGCUAUAAAUUUGGCUAACGCAGAUCUUCCGAGGAUGGCGUGAUAAGAAGUUUCAAAAUCUUCCAUGUCAAAGCGGAUGUACUCGGUUCGAUAGUACUCCUUUAUCCCAAAGGUGACAGGUAAGACUACUUAUCCGAGGGGUAUGGCUACGUUGCCUGGGACAAUAUCGUAGAAUGGAGAAUUUGUCGGAGUGAGCAUUCCCGUGAUGUCCAGGCCCAUCUUUUUUUAGAGUUUUGGCAAAAAGGACAUCACCGUCGAUGAGUACUUUCGUAGGCCUUGAACUAGUGACAACUGGGUCAAGAAUGAGGGGGAAUCAUCCGGGUUCGGAGAAACUUGUCCAUCGAUCCUUCCUUGAGAAAGUAAUAUGUACUUCUGACCACUUGAGGGGUGUAGGAUUUGCAAGCUCGAUGGACAUGAUCUCUCGUAGUGUCAGCUUGUGAGAUCGUUUGGAGGCGGUGCCUGGGAUCCCGCCAAAGAUGACGUUGACGAUUUUUGAUGGUGUCUGAAACUUGUCUUCUCCAUCUUCGUCUUUGUUUACCUUGGCUUUCCCCUUGUCAUUAUUUCUCGAUGGUUCUGGUAGAUCUUUUGAUGCACUUCGUAAGCUGUAACAGUCUAUGGUGGCGUGCUUGCUAUGCAGGUGCUAUGGGCACUGCUUCUUCAAGAGCUUGCUGAAAUUGGGUCUUUCAAAAUUCUUCCCAUCCUUUUUGGAUGAACAGGACAUUGUUGCGAAUGUGUUGUGUAGCUUACGUUUGCGAUUUUGGUUCCCCGAGUAGUUAUUCUGGUUGUCAUUGUUGCGGUUCUUGUCGUGAUCCUGGCCGUUGCUUUGGUUGUUGUUACUGUUAUCGCGGCCACGAUUGUGGUUCGAGUCGAACCUUUCGCACUCUUUACCUUCCUCAUCUGCCCAUGAUUGGGCCAUGAUCUUGAGUUCUUUGACGUCUGCAGGGCAACGCUUUCCAAAGUCUUGGAACAUGCGACGGUCGUAGAGUCCAUUCUAGAAACACUCUAUUACAUCUGGUUCUGAGAUGUCCACGAUUUUGGCUUUUUUGUCGAAGAAACAACGUAGAUAGCCGCGCAAUGACUCGUCUUUUUGCUGCUUGACUUGUGCCAAGUCGAUUUUGUUGCCGGGGUGCUGCAUUGCCCCUGCGUAGUUGCUUGUAAAGGCUUUCUUCAAGUAUUGCCAGGAGUUGAUUUUAUCAGGUUUCAAAGACUCGAGCUAGGUCAGUGGUGCGUUUUCCAUGCAAACGGGGAAGUAGACAACCUUUGUGUGGUCAUCACCCCCUGCAGCCUGGACUGCCAAUGAGUAACAACGGAGCCACUGAACUGGAUCUUGCUUACCAUCAUAUUUGGAGAUACCUAGAGGCUUGAAUUUCUCUGGUAAGGUAGUAUUUCUUAUCUGUCUUGUGAAGGCAGGGAAAUGAUCGUUGUCAUCACCCCUGUAGUCUUCUUUAGCUUCGAGCUCGCGACGUAGGUUGUUAAUGACGUUACACGCUUCGCGAUUGCUGUUUAUUUUAUCUCUGAGGUCAGCAACGUUACGCGGGGGUUCGGGAUCAGUUCUGCGGUAGCGUGCGCCUCCAUUAGAACCUAUCCAACUACCUUUGGGUGCGUCUCUAUCUUGCCUUGGUGCCUCAAUUGUACCCCGAUGUUGUCUGGCAUCCUCGUGAGGUUGGGCUGACGGUCCUCCGUGGCCUCUGUUGCCCUCAUGUUGACUUCGCCCCGACGGAGCGCGAGAUACUGAAGGAAUUGGGCUCUGUUUGUCGAGUAGUUCAUAGGCAUGUUCCACCAACUGCCCUAUCAAGUCGCUGUAGUUGUCUUGGGGCAUGAUGUGAGUGAGCAUGUCAAUGGAAGCAACAGCGGCAAGCGGUGUGUUGUGUUGUCGUCCUAAGUUCUUUCUAAAGCUCUUUCUAAGUUUGCAACUAGGAAUUGGGCUUCGAGUAGUCGAUGCCGAUCUGCUCUCUGCACAUUUCUUGCUCGUCGUUGAGCUCUCUAGCUCUCGGUUUCGUCCCUAGUGGCGUUGAUGGAUAAUUCAUCUUGUGAGACCUCGUAUGCGUGACAUCGGUGUUGUUGGGGUGUUCUUUCUGGCCAAUGCUGACCGCCUUCAGCUCCAUCCGUGAUAAGGGCAAAGAGCUCUCUGUUCGGCGAGUAGCUGCUAGAACUUGAUGUAAUGACCUUUGUAGAGCCACCUUCUUCAUAGAUUGCUGACAACAGCGUUCCCUCUUGGUAUGGUAAGAUCUCAAGAUGGGCGAUGAGGCGUGACUCAUCAUCCUGGGCGAGGAAAGAUGGCUUCAUGCCUAGCAAGUAGACGAAUCUGCCCCGAGGUGUUAAAGUGAUGACCAGACCCUGCUGCGGGCUUGAUAAAGGAGUCUCGUCGAUGGAAUCCAAGUAGAAGUCAUGGUCGUGAUCCUUGAUCACUUCCAAUCCAGAUUGUGAUUUGGAUAGAGCUGCCUGAUGAACCAAAACCGUAUUUCGAAGUCCGAACAAAAAUUGACUUGGAGUUCAAACCGGUUCGCACGAUGGCUGGAUUGCCUGCUCGUGAGAACUAGUCCCAGUGGACGUAGGAUCCGAGUUGUGCUCGAACUUGCUUCUUGGUAGAUUGAAAACUUUGCUGAAUUUCUCGACGAAAUCCUCCGUAGCUUGGCGACGAAGGGUGAAGUCGAGUUGCUUCUUCUCCAGAGCCUCCGCAAGGUAGCGGCGGAAGCUUCCAGCACCGUCGGCGACACAGACACAAGAGUCGAAGACGAAUGUCAUGCCAGCUUCAUGCACGAUCGUAGGCUUGAUGAUGAUUUGAGCCAUCGAACUUGCAUGGCGAAUUUUGGUGACUGCCCCUACCUGGUGCACCAGCUGUCAGUGUUUUAGCCCGAUAACCUACCAAGGGAGUACCCGAGGUAGAGUUUUGAUUGGUGAGUGUUGCCGAAAUCAGGAGCCCGAUGGUGAUGCAGGAACACGAUUUAGACAGGAUCGGGCUGCUAGAUCGUGUAGUACCCUACGUCCUGUGUGUUGUAUCCUUAUAUUGGCUUGAACUUGUUUUGGAGGGGGUCCUAGCCCGCCCUUAUAUAUCCUAGGAGCAGGGUUACAAGGUAGUUGUUUUACAAGAGUACUAGUCGGGUUCAACUUCAAAGUCCUACUCCAACUAGGUAGAGUAGUUUCCUUAUCUUCGACUAGUCCCUUAGAGUCCAUGUAGACUACGCCGUCCUGUACCAUAGUUUCCAUGCCUUGGUAUGUCUCGGCGUAUUUCUCCAUACGUGGAUCCAUAUAAAGCUUCUGGUGGGCCCACGGAUGUAUGCCCGACAGUUGGUUAGGGUCCUUGUAGUGCGAUCGGAUCACCAAAUAGAUUCUAAGUUGUCAACUUAGCACGGGUGUAGUACGGGUGAUUGCAUUUUCUUAGAUUUAUUUGAGAAAUUAACAACCCUGUUCUUCCUGCAAUACUGACAUGGCCGUUGACAAUAAGGUCUCUACAGUGACUUGAUCAAUCUCAAAAUAUGUUGUCUCAUUAUCUUGGAGAAGAUGCUCAUACAUGUCAAACAAAUUACUUCAAAAUAGUUGGAGACCGCUGAAUCACAUGAAAUUUUUUCAAAGUCGACUUCCAAGUUACGUUUGCUAUGAGGUUUGCGCUUUAAGGACGACUGAUGCGUGCGAUGAGAAAAUUUUCAUGUGUUUUAGUAAAAAAAAUUUAUUUGUUAUUUACUAUGAGUUAUAACCGUUUUUUAAAAGUUGUAAGGAUGGUCUAAUUUAUAAUUCUGGUUUGGAUCCAAAUAUGGAGUAUCAAAAAUUCCAUCCCUUCAACCCCUUUUGGAAGACUUGAUAUACAAAAUCGAUUCGAAACCAAGAAUUACCGAUGGAGCUAUGGGUAAUAAAAAACAAAAUCUACUGAGAGAUAUCCGGAACACGUAUGUAAGAUCGUUCGUUGAGGAAUACAAGAUGGGAGCCGCCCGCAGUCUUGCUGGUAUCCAUCAGCCAUGGCGAGGGCACGAACACGCCGCAGGCGGCCCUUUCCCGCCGCGCCGUGGUCACGAUGUGCGCCGCGUCGCUGUUGUUCGCGGGGCUGACGGCGUGGGUCCUGUGCAGCUCCGACGCCGGCGACGGAGAGGACAAGUUCUCCGUCGUGCGGAGGCUGUCGCCGUUAAUCUGUGCGUACCUUUUGCUCUGGACCGUCGCGUUCUCGGAGUCGGAAGCGAGGGCUGCGCUCGCCGCGCGGUUCAUGCGCGCCUCGUACCUGCCGCUGCUCGCCUACCUCGCCGCGAAGGUGGUCGGGCCCCUCGCCGGCGCGGCCGAGGCGUGCGCCGCCACGUCCUUCGCCGCCGCGGCGGCCGGCCGCGCCCUCGCCGAGCACCGGCUCCACGCCGGGGCGGAGCGGUCGGCCGCCGCCGCCGCGGAGAACACCGCGCGCUACCGGAGCCGCGCCGAGGAGGGCAACGAGGGGUGCGUCGGGGUCAUGGCCGUCUUCCUCAUGGCCUUCUUCGCGGCGGUCCUGUGCGCCAUCAUGUGGUUCGAGUCCGGCGAGAGCAAGCUGAGCACGGUCGUCUUCGCCGGACCAUACCUCUUGAUCACGAGGCUGGUGCUGCUGCGCAGGGGGCCAUUGGAGGACGCCGGAUCAGAGAAGGCGGGCAUGGCCACCUUUGGCCUCGUCCUCUGGUGGCCCAUACUGGUCAUCCUAUUCGUUGGCCUCGCCAUCGGCGAGGCGGCCAUGAUGGUCGUCAGCUGGGCCAGCACCACGGCCAUGGCCGGGUACUUGGGGUACGGCAUCGCCGUGCACCAGAGCUUCGAGCAGCUCAUGAUCGUCAAAAGGUAACAAGCUUUCCAGAUCAAGAAACUUGUUUUUAUUAGCAAAAUUUUACGAUCUUCUUGGUGAUGGCCGGUAGUAAGUAGUAACUUUGUGCGUGGUGUGUCGCACGAGGCAGCCUCCGGCGGUGCAGGACGCCUCCGGCUUGCCGGUGGGACGCGACGGGGAGCACGCCGCCACGGUUCACAUCGACACGGCGUGCUGUGUCUUGGUGGGGAUCGCCGCGUGAAUACUUCUACCAGGAGGAGACGGGGGCAUCUUUGCCCGAUGACAUUGCUCGGUUUGAUUGGGAAGUCGAGCGCUGCACUACCGGAAACUGUGGGUUUGCCAGGCACUCGGCAAAAAGGCUAUUUACCAAGUGCAAACACAAAAACACUCGGUAAUACGACACACGGUAAACAGAUUAAAAAACACUUAGCAAACAUUUACACUAGGCAAAAACACACAUAAACACUCGGUAAAUUUUUGCACUCGGCAAAACAGGAAAAAAACACUCAACAAAGGGAAACACUCGGCAAAGAACUUCAUUUUGCUGAGUGUAAAUCUGUGGCACUCGGCAAAUAAUUUCAUUUUUUCUCUUCUGACCUUGAAACUUUUCUACUCUCAACAUACAACAUUUGGUAUCCCACGUUAAAAUUUGGUAUAUUUCUAGAUCUGUUUGCUAUAUUUAAUUAAUUUAUUGCAUUUCUAAGAAUUAUUUGGUAUAAGUCAAAUUUGAACUCUAAGUGAUUGAAAUAAUAGAAUAAAAUGAGUAGAAAAAUGAUAUUCAUGUUAUUGAGUCUAGUGUUAGGCCUUAUCUAGGAAAUGAAACGAAAUUUCGAAUGUCUUGUUCAGAAAACACGACCACAAACGUGUAUCCGAUGGGUUUUUAAAUUUAAAAAAAGCAAAUGAAGUCCGUAAAUCAUGAGAUUUUUCAUAAUGUGAUGGUAUCAUACAUGGAGGCUGCGGUAAGAAAUUGAGAAGGCUUCGCACAAUUUGUUACGUAAGAUGUUUACAAACCGAAGUAUCUCAGAAGAAGAAUCGUAGCGUUGAGAAAGAAUCGGUAAGAUUUGGAGUCAAAGUGACGAUCAAAUUCGGGUUUGACUUCAAAACUUUUUGUAUAGGCAAUAGAGAACAUAGAUUGUUUCAUGUGAAAUUUUGAGAAUUUUUUUGGGUCUGUUUGAUAAUUUUAAUUUAUUAAGUACAAUUAUAGAAUUUUAAUUGAUAUAAAUUAAAUUUGAGAUGUAACUGCAUAUAUAUAUAUAUAUAUAUAUAUAUAUAUAUAUAUAUUGUUGAGUCAAUUUGACAAAGUAUUUUCAAAGGACAUUGAACAAAAAAGGAAAAACAUGUUAUGGAAAACAAGGAAAUGAAAAAAUAACUAAUAUAUUUGGUGAGUGCCCCAAACCCAAGACACUCGGCAAAGAUAAGUUUGUCGAGUGCCAUGAUCCGACACUCGACAAACUCAGCAUGUUAUAAACUCUCCCGGCCGCCCCCCCCCCCCCUCCCCUCCUUCCCUCUCCCUCUCCCUCUCCGCCCUCCCUCCUCCCCUCCCUCUUCCGCCACCCCCUCCCCUCACUAUACCACAACCCCAGUAUAGCAACUUUGUUGGGGUCGGUAUAAGUCGUUGCAGCGAUGAACCAUCGGUCGGUAUAGAGUUAUCCCGACCCUAACUAUUAGUCGUUGGAAGUGGCGUCGGGAUAAAUCUAUACCGACCCACACAUUUUUUCCGACCAACAAUUUGACAAGCCCAUGAGUUUUUACCAACCGAUGUUUCAACGGGACCAUUUAGAUGGAUUAAAAAAAAGUAAAAUCAAGAUUAAUCUAGUGUUCAUGUACAGACAUUCAUCACAAAGUAGCACGUUAACAAAGACAAACUUUCGUUCAUUCAUGUAGGCUCAUAAGUCAUAACAACAGAGUAGCUAACAUUCGGAGAUAGGCUCAUAUAUAACAUCAAAUUCUACAUGUCCUAGUUAAACUGCAGGUAGACAUAUAUGGAUUGUUUGCCUCCAAAAUGAUAAAGACAUAUGCAGGUAGUUCAGAACAAAUCAAUAACUGGAUCAACACUUUGAUCCACUUGUUGUUGACAAGAUCCUGCCUAGCACCUCUUUAAAGUUCAUGAAACUCAAAGUUGGCAUGCAAUAAGUGAAAUCCUGCAAACCUCGGUCCUCAAUGCAUAAAAUCUAAUCAAGUAUGCAAAAUAUAAGCAUCUUUGAGGAUAAUAAUACAAUGGUCUCUACAUUUGUAUAAACAAGUGUGAACAAAAUGAUAUAGCACACUACUCAAGUUCCUUCACCCCAUAUUUACAUUUAGCUAUAUCCCAAAAUUAAGGCCAGCAGUCCUCUGAGUGUUUUUUUUCAGAAAUCAUAUAUACACUGCAGUGAAUCUUUUCUAUAGAAGAACUUAGCACUGGUGCUCCUGUUUUUGCAGUCACAGUUCUACAUCUACCACCCCAAUAAUUUAAUAGGCACAAAAGCUUUCUAAUUUCUAUGACCGUUGCAGACAUCUUAAGCUUGCAAAUUUCUACUCUAAGUUGUGUCGAAAGUACAAUUCAGAAUAAAAUACUUGCAGUACCCAGUCACUUGGUAAUUUCUUAGCAUUACUAGCAGCAGCACACAGUAUAUCCAAGGAAGCACUACUGAAAUUUUCAUUUCCUAAUAUCUAAAGCCAAAAUGCAUAGAAAAUCAGCAGGCAAUAUCGAGAUGCUAAGCAUUUCAGAUUACAUGAGCAAUUGUAAGUGAUUUUUCUUGAUAAAAGUCUCAUAACUCAGGUUUCAUGAUAAAAGCAUGUUCAGAAAGCACUUCUUUUCUUAAGACUAUGUCUGAAACUUCUACUACUACCGCCUAGGAACCAAUCCUGAAUAUAUCAGUGUGAAAUCAGUAGAUUAUGCCAAACAUCUAAGCCUCUACAUGAGAGACGAAACAGAAGAGAAUAAGUCGCCAAGAAAUAAUAUAUAGCGUAACAUUGGAGUGUCAUCUCAUUCAUGAUAUAAAGUGCUGCAGCUGUACUAAUUGAACAGAUCAGAGAACACAGAAUCAUACCAUUGUUCCAGCAGCUGCAGUAGGGGUAGCAUAGAACAGAGCACUAAUCGAACAGAGCAUAGCACAAAUUAGGCACCAGCACCUGCUGCAGUAAAGGUAGCAUAGAACAGAACUCAAUCGAACAGAGCAGAGCAUGAAUUAAACAGAGGAGGAAGAAUCAAGUACCAGGAUGGCAGGACCUGGAGUCCUAGAGGUCGAUCCAGUUCUGGGCGGAGUCCUGGAGCCGAAGCUCGCUGAUGGAGCCACCGGGUCGCUGCCAAAUCCUGUUGCUGCUAGCGAGCUCGCUCCUCGAGGGCUCCAGCCAGGCACUUACCGCUCCAAGAACAGCAGGGGCCCGCCGCUGCCAGCAGUAGGGCACGACCCCUCCAUGCCCUUCCUGGUUCAUGGGCAAGCGGUCUGGAGGUCGCUGCCACCACAAGCGACAUCCUUCCUCCUCGGGGAUUCAUGGAUCUGAACCUGCGGAUCUGCGGGGUCAGGUGAGGCGUCGCCAUGGCCAAAGGGGAGGCUGUCCCCGUGCUGGAUGCGGCGCUUGGGACUUGGGAUGGAAGGAGGAGCUAUGGGAUGCGACAAUCUAGGCUGGGAAGGUCAUGGAGAUGGGGAACGGCGGCACGGUGGGAUGUUGGGAAGGGCACAGAUGGGGAAUGGUGACCGGCGCGGCGGUGGUACGACACGCGCGAGCGGCUGAGCAAUGGAAGCGGCGAGCUAGGGUUCCCAGUGAGGAUGAGGAAAUAGUUAUUAGGCUGGCGCCGCUUUUGGGCCUCCCGCAUCUGAUUUUCGGCCCACAGCUAUGCCGACGGAUGGCAAAGUCCAUAUUAAACAGAGAUAGCGACCCAUCUUCUGCCCAUAUACACCAAAAUAAAUACCCAUCUUGUGCCGACCAAUAGUUUGAUGCUAACUUGUGCCCUAAUAUUCCAACGCUAAUAUUCAUCUUUCACCGACUACCAACAGUCGCUAAUUAAGUGUUGUGGUACAGUGCCUCCCUCUCCCCCUAUCUCCCUCCUCCUUCCUCUUUUUUUUGCACAGGUGGUGGUGGCGGCGACGGGCCAGGCAAGCAGUGGGCGGUGUGGUGGUGGCGGGCGUGGUGGCGGGCGUAGUGGCGGGCGUUGUGGUGGUGGGCGUAGUAGCGGCCUAGUGGUAGCAGGCGGCUGCGCGGCCAAGGCACGUGAGUGCCUGAUAAAAAACACUCGGAAAAGAAACUUUUGCCGUCACCGUGUACGCUUUUGCCUAGUGUUUUUGGGCUUCGCUGUGUACCGUGGACACACGACAAACCUGGGCAUUCCGGUAGUUGUUACUACUAUGUAGCAAAUGAGCCAAAAUUUACCUUCUUUGAGCUUAAGUGAAGUCAUUAGAGCUUAAUGGAACCAAUGAACAGCUUUGCACCCAAGUAAAAUGACACCUUUUGCCCCUCACAAGCUAAGCACGUGUUCAAGCCAUAACUCAAAUUUUUGCUUAAGAACUUAAAAAACUGCCCAACUAAGAGUUGUAUAACUCACAAAUUCUAACAACUUUUGUAAUUAGCUUUUUGCUUGAAACUGAUCAGAAAAGGGUCAAAAUCUCAAAUUACAAAUCUGGACCGAAAGCUGCAGAUCAAAUAAAGUCAGAACUUUGGAGCCCUUUUUCUCACAUUUUCGAAUGUAAUCUCAUGACAAACCUUUUAUAAAAGUUUUAGUGCUACGAGUUUUUAACAACUUUAAUUUUUGGACUUAGGCCAAAAUCUGCACAAAAGGUUUUCAAAAACGAGGUCAAAUGCAGCUAAAAUGGUCAACACUGUAAAAAAUGGCUGAAGUGUUCAAGUCUGAAAGUUUCGGAUUUUGCCAAACUUUGAAGCGUUUUAUCUUCAAUUCAGCUUCAAAUUUGAAAUCAAGACAAUUACAAGAAUUGAACUUAGAUCCUAGGCCUACAACUUUUGUAAAGGGAGUAGGGGUUGUGCAGUUCAAAAAUCUGGAGAAGAUCGCGCUCAAAGAUUGCCCUAUCGUCCGAUCCCGCAAAUCCCGCACCAGAGCUCGCGCCGAGCACGCGUGCGCCGCGCUCCCCUCGCCGGCUGCCCCGUGGCACGUGCUCCUCGUCGCUGCCCCGUCGAGUCGCCCCCUGCCGCUGCUAUAUCCGCGCGCACCCUACGACACUCUGGCACGCCACCGCCGCCGUGCCCGCCAACGCACGCCCGAGACAAGACGCAGCAGCUCCUCGGCCUCGCCUGCAGCGCCCUGAUGGUGCCGUUCACCCGUGCACGCCUGCUUCGCCUGCAGCGCCCGCCUGCACGCGCACCCGCCAAGUCACCUCCCCUGCCCACCAAUGGCGCCCGCCAUGGCCGAUCCACCCCGCAGCAACGUACCAGCGCCCCAUCCUUCAAACCACCCUCCUCGAGCCUCCUGCCUCCUUUUCCAAGCCCCAGUGCCCUCCAACAGAAAGUUCUUGCCCCAAACCACCAGCUCGAGAGGUUCUAGUUCCCCGGUGAAAUCCGACCAGCUCCCUCCACCUCUCUCUAAUAGCCCGCACCUAAGGCUCCUCUACUUCCUCAGCCAUAGCCUUGGAUACUCCUUGUCUCCUGCCAUCCACCCCAUCACCCGGAAUCCCACUUUUCCCAACUCCAGGAACUCCACCUGCCACCCCCACUGCCUCACCGCGGAACACCAUCUUCUAGUCAUCCUCGUCGUCAACCAACCACUCAAACGAAACCGCAGUAAGACACUGAUCAUCAUGCUCGCGCUCGAUUUCCUCUUGGGUCAACUUUCCACGCUCGUUCCCGCUCAUGUCGACGGUGUUCCUCGCCACCCGCGGAGCCCCUUCUGCGUCGCCCCGAUCCGCGUCUCUGGACCUGCUUCUGCGAGCUGUUGGCCCUGCUGCGCAGCCCCUCCUCUCCCCUAAGCCGCCCCGCUGCCCUCCCCCUACCGCCGCUGGCCCAAUCCCGAACGCCGGCCAAGCCUGUCUGUUCUGCUGUGCUGUGCGUUCGGUUCCAGAGGAAGAAGAAGGCUAGGGGUCUAGUUGCAAGUGGAAAAGAAAGUUAGGGGGUUACGGGGAAAGUUGCGGGAUUUAUGUUUGAGGUGGGUUUUUGUCCAGGGGUGUAGGCGCAAGAUCCAAGGGCCUCUACGCAUUUAACCCAUAGACUUGAGGGCUAGGUUGGAAGAUUGCCUCGUUUUUCUUUUUUUUCCUAGAUCUAAAAAGGCUGAAAGUUUAAAAAGGCAUAGAAAAGUGUAGAAAAAUGCUAAAAAUACAAGAUAAAUUUUGUUAGACUCAAUAUUCUGUGUAGUUUCAUAUAAAAAUAAGUUUACACAUGUCUCUAUCAGAAUUAAUGUUAUAUGAUUUAAUCCUUGUUUAAGCUAGUUUAAAUCAUCAUAAAUCCAAGAAAAAAUGAUAAAAAGAUGAAUCCAACUCUCAAGUGUUUGUUUCAAAGAUUAGAAGCUUAGAAAACUGGUUUAGAGCCUAGCAUAGACUUUUAAGUCACUAUUUUAGUUUAUUAAUUGAAAUCUGCAGGUAGAUUUUUCUUUUUGCAUAAUGAUAAAUUUAGAGAUGAUAAAAAUAUGAAACCACUUGGCAUAAUUCAGGAAUGAGGUGUAGUUCACAAGAAAAUUAUGAGACUUGGUUUGAAAGUUAAUGAAAACUGCUUUCCUUUUUAGAGAAAGAUAAAAAGGAAUAAUAUAUGAAAUGCCUUUCAGACUAUUGGUUUUGCACGUUGAAUCAUUUGCACAUGCAUUUCAUGUAGAAGUUAACAUCACCGACGGUACGUACGAGCUGCACCUGACGCUCGAAGAGGAAGCCGUAGCGGAUCUGCACCACGCCGGAGUCGAGCCCGUGCCAAAGCAAGUCGAGGACCAGUUCGCUAACUCCGAGUGUGAAGGCAAGCUCCGGAGCAUAAAUUCCUAUGUUUAAAUACUUGCAAUAUAUUGGUUGUUUUGAUUGUGCAUUUACUUUUCUAGGAAUUGAUUGAAACCAUAGAUGCAUGAAUAUAGUGCCCCUUGAUCUGAACACUAGUAUAAGAAGUCGAGUAGUUCAAAUGCUAAAUAGGACUCGGUAAAAGUCAGUGAUUUCCUGUAACUCGCGAGUUAUAGGAGUUGAAUGAUUUUCUUUUCGUUGCAACUAUAAGAAUGAUGGACAGGGCCGGGCUUAUGUAGGUACUCGGUGGUUUGCCCCGUCUGUCUACUUGAAAUUGGACUAAGGUCGAAAGGUGAUGGUGUUCGUGAUUAAGUGUUUGAAAGUACUAAUCUCAUACCUAGUAUGGGAUGGGGAAGCCUAGUACCUGAUUGAACUGGGACGUGGCUUAUACCCCUGCUGUCCUUGGAACGUCAUUCCCAUGGUGCAUCAUGUGGGUGCAAUGGCGGUCAUAGUACGGUAGAGACCGGGACUGUGGAGCAUUGCAUGCUAAAGGAAGUUUGGACCUGGCACGUACCUAGGGAUCAAUGGGGAUGGCUGACAAGUGAAGCGAUCCUUCGUGGUGCGCGGAUGUCGUGGGAUUAGGUUCGCCAUGUAUGGUUAAUAAUUUUGAAUCGAUUCGUCUACCUCUCACAGUUUGGGACUACUUAAUCGCUAUGCUACGCUGAGUAAGAAUGAAAGAUGAUGAUGAUAUAAUAUUGUUACUUGUUAUUAAUUGCUUGGAAAACUAUGCUUGUUUAGUAUAGUUGCUAACUUAGAAUGAUAAACAACAGUAGAACUGGUGGCUAAAAUGUUGAAAGUAAGGACCUACACUAGUCGCUUUUGGCAAAACAAAACCCAGCGCCAAAAAGCUUGCAUGUCUAGGUGUUAGUGGAUUAGUACCACAGGUCGGUUAAGUCUUGUUGAGCAUAGUUGCUCAGCCUUGUUUGUGGCACCUCUUUUCAGGUGAGGAUGAUGUUCCUGAGUUCGCUGCUAGUUCUGCUUGGUCUACCCAGCUCCCUCCAGGUUGGACGGUCGAGUGGGAUCCCUCCUCGGACGGCGAGGACAGGGGUUAGUGAUGUCAUGAUCGACUUCUUCAUGAUAUCGUGCAUCGACGUUUAGUUUCCGUUCGUUUUAUUUCCGCUGCUUGAACACUCUACAAACUAUGUUUGAAUUUCUAAACUUUAUGUUGUAAUAAAUCGAUGCACUUUGUUUAAUCUGGAUAGACUGUUGUAAUCUCUGUAACCCCUCACCAUCGUGUGAGUUUUGCUUUCUCGAUCCUGCGUUACGUGGUUUUAUCGGAAGAAAUCCGACGGACGACCGAGUUGACUUGUUUAAAGUACAUGAUCGCGUGUUAGGUGAUUUAAGUGUGCUUUAACCAAGUUAAUUUAGGGGUUCUGCCACAUACUAAUUACCUGCUCUGCAGGUAAUGGUGACUCAUCAUUUGUUUGCUGACAUUAAUUUCAACAAAUCUGGGCAUUCCGGUAGUUGUUACUACUAAUUACCUGCUCUGCAGGUGACUCAUCAUUUGUUUGCUGACAUUAAUUUACGAGCUACACUGUUUACUAAGUGAUAUUUGUGGAACAUUCUAAUUUCCCCCGUAAAGAUUAAAGAAAGAGUUGUAUAGAUUUGCCAAUGUUGUUGGCUCGUGAGCCACAUGGCACUACGCUCCGUAGCAAUGAACUAAGCCAUCGCACGGGCGAGUGGUAGAAAAAUGGGUUUUAGUCCCGGUUGGAGAGCCGCAUAGAGCUCGAAAAUCUAAUGAACUUUGCAUGAAUGCUCUGUCCAUUGACUUGGCAUGGACAUGCAUGUAAGCGCAUCAGCUGUUCAAACAUUUCCUUUACAGGUGAUUCCUUCGGAUAUAAGCUCUGUCCAGAACUGAAACCGAUGGAUGCACUUUGAAAACAUCUAUAUGCGGUCUACCUGCAACUGCAACUGAUCUUGUCAGGUAACAGCUAGCUAGUUAACACCUUUUUAUGAAUUGUGAAUCUUGAUUCUGUAGGGCUCUCAAGAAAUCUAUCUGUUAACUAUGGGCGGCACACUACAUUGGUCAAAACAAGAGCUACUGGCACUGUAGCAGCCAUCCUGUAGUGACCGAAAUUUUCACUUGUUCUGAAACUUCCUGAUGGAACAAAGCAGAACCGCGCCAGCAACUGAAUGCUUUUCCAAAGCAUAUAAUAUCCAUCGAUGGUAUUGCAAUAGCCAUGUUCUGUCACCUGCAGCUCCAUCCCAGGACCCAGGAGAUGAAACAUAUUAGCUGUGACUGCAUGAACUCCAUGAGGCGAUCAGUCUUGAUCCAUAACCAGCGCUGGUGUAAUAUAACGGUUACGAAUUACAAAUAGUCUCAAAUUAACUCUUUCUCAGUGCACCAGUCCACACACAUAUAGCUUGCUGGUUUUAUGGCAACCUAAAUUGCCAAUUAUUAACACACAAACAAACCCAAACAGACCAAGCAAUCUAGCACAAAUAUUACAUGUCCCUUGAGAAAUAUUGUUAGAAGAAACAGAACACACUCGACACAAUGCAUCCUGGGCAUGCAGUAAAACUCUCGGUAAGCUCUCGGUAUGAAAUGAAACUCACCUAAGGUAGCUUUUGAUGAUAUGUUUCUUGCGCGAUACGAACUCCGGUGGCGGCACAUGCAAGUAGUAAUCGCUUUGCUCUGGAAGGCUCCACUGCAGCCUGCCCCACCAGUCACGCUCUCCGCUGACUUCCACCUUUGACUUUCGAUAUUCCUUCUUCAGGAGUGGGAGACUCUGAAAGGAUAGGCAGCCCCGAACAAAGAGCUUCUCCCACUUUGGUGUAUCAAAUUGAAACGUGACAUCAUCAUGGAAGUGCUGCAGGUGUGGCAGCUCCUGGAGGUAGAUCCUUUCGAUGUUUGGGAGUGGAGAAGCUGCUACAUAAUAGUCAGGUUGUUUGUAGAAAAUUGUCUUCAGGUUGUAGCAGAACAGAAUGACCAGAGUCUCCAGUGCUGGUAAUGACAAAGUGCAUGGGAAAAUUUUCUCCAGACGUGGGCAGUGCUCAACGUGGAUGUGUUUUAGUACUUCCAAAGUGAUCAUGGUUAUUUGAUCGUGGCUGAACUGGUUCAACAAAGCAUAGUAGGUUCUCAAGGCAGGAGGCCUUCAGUAUCCUAAGGGAUGGGAAUACCUCUGACUUUGAUGGGGCUUCCGAAUUCAUUCUGAAUACUUCUGUCAUUUGAUGGCAGCGUUGGAGCUGGCAUUCUUCUAGGCAAAUUAGACUGUAAUUUAGGUCAGUAAGGCAUCUGACAAAAGCAUCAUCUGUAAUGAACAUUGAGUUUGUAACAGAGAGAAGAUGCCUUAAACCAUUUGGAUAUCGAUUCUUCGUGGAUAUCUGCACAUGGCGCUGCUUUGGCUGAAGUUUCAUCAUGGGAAAGAUGCUAGCUGCCUCACAUUGACAGACAUCUAGAUAAGGUGAUCGCCUCUGGAUCUUAGUAAAAAUCUCACCUUUUAUAUUCUGUGGCUUCUUGGCUCUCACAUUGCAUGGUUGAACUUGGACAUUAAAUGACUGAAGAAACUGUCCUUUCUUCACUAACUUGUUAGCAGCAUCCGCAUUAAAGCUAUGAAAGAUCCUGGAAUCGUUUAUGUUGAUUUGAGCAGUAUUUGUCGUUAUCUCUGUAUGCUGAUUUUCAUCCUCACAAAUUUCCUGCUUGCAAAACAUCUUUAAAAAUUGCUUAUGAUCAUCUGCACAGUGAUCCAAAUAGAAUACCUCAGGAAACCUAACCAACUGAUGCCACGGGAAUCUCUUGAAACAAGGGACAUUCAGAAGAAGUAAUGUCUUUAAUUUUGGUAAAUUUGGGAGGCUGUGAGGGAUCUCCUCAAGGGCUGUUCCAGAAAGAUCAACAUCCUCCAGUGCUGUAAGAUCAUCACUGAAGUUCACAAUUUUCAGCCUGCUGCACCCACGCAAGGACAGGCACCUAAUCCAUGGUCCAGACGGUGAGAAGGUUCUGAGGUUACGAUGGCCAUGGAUUUUGAUAUCUUCCAACGCCUCCCAUGUUUGUAUAUAAAGAUCUUCAAGGUAUGGUAACAGAUCCCAUAUAAACUGAAGCCUCAAUCCAAUGCAGUUAUAAAUAUGUAGCUCCUUGAGGCCUUUGGGUUCAGAUAGUGACCUUGGGAGUGACGUCAACAGCGUGUUGUCGAUCAGCUUGAGUGUACGCAGCCUUUGCAUUGCUUCAAACAUAUCCUCUGGAAAAGAGGUAAUCUUAGUCCCCUCCACAUGAAGGAACAAAAGAUUGGACAGUUCAGCCAUGGAAGGAGGCAGUUCUUUGAGAUUGGAGCAAUGACCAAGAAUGAGCUCCUCAAGACUUAACAUGCUAUGGAAGAAUUCAGAAGGCAGAGUGGUGAUUCUUGAACCAGACAGAUCAAGGUAGUGCAGAUUUCUCUUGUUGCUACCAUCCUGCUGGGUUAUCUCCAGCAAGGGAACCCCAUUCAUAUCAAGGACUUGAAGGUUUCCUAGAUGUGCGAGUGGUGAUGUUUCUUCAUCGGAACUAGGUGGUGAUGGAGACAAGGUCUCGAGGUGAGAGCAGCCUCUGAGUGAGAGCAAGUUCAGAUUCAGUAGCUGAGAAAACCCAGGAGGCAGAGAAUCUAUCUGUGUAUAGGACAAAUCAAGAACACGGAUGAAGCUGUUUAACACUUCAUCAAAGCCUGAUAUGUUUGAGCAACCUCUCAGAAUAAGGGUGCUCAUGCUCACUUUUCCUCGGAUAAAUUCUGCCUUCCGGGGCCUUUCCCAAUCCCAGCUUACAUGCCUACCAUCACCAUUCAUAAAUGAGACCCAUCUCAGUUUCUCUCUCCUUUUUGGUACAUAAAGUUCAUCUUGCUUGAGUCGGGAGACACCCUUAGCUAACUGUGACACGCCAGUGAUGUUAUCCUGGAAGGAUGAUGCAGAAGUGGUGGUAGCCGUCCAUGAAGUGCUGCUUGUUGGGGUAGAAACAGAAUAUAUUGGAAGUAAUGAAUAUUCUUGCAAGGCUUGAACCACGACCUUUCCAGCUUCAUAUGCAGACCUGUAGUAGUUGCUCUGUUUCUUGCCGGUGGCUGCUGGUUUCCUGGUGGGGCUUGUUGUUGAAAAAAUCAGUUCCUCAGCCACCAAACAGCGAACCAGCUCAUCGGAGGUAACAGAGAAGGUGGUGCUUGCCUGACAUCCAGCAGCUCCUUGCAGUCGAUGGUAGAGGACACCAUAAUACAAGCAGUGUUGAGCCACGUGGAGCCAGAACUCGUCUCCUUGCUGCUUGAGUGUGUUAUGGAUGGAGGCGGCUGCAUCCACUAAGGCCUCUUUAAUCAGCACAGCCCACUCUGGCUCUAGGAGAUCAUGAAAAGGCAGGGCAUGGUAAUAUUCCCAGCUUAGAUGAACUACCAUGGGAGAACGAGUUAUAGCCUGUCUGCUUUUGUCGCAGACAUCCUUGGAAGUUGUUGAGAUGAGCCACCGGCUCUGGAAGGGUGACGGCCGCCGUCCGCCCAUUGUGAAAACCAGCACUUCCAAUGGGACGGGAACAUGCAGGUUUUCUACCAGCAGCAGAUGCUUCUUCCCUAGGAACGCUUUCAUGAUCCUUUCGA